RNAcentral lists this non-coding RNA (96 nucleotides) under unclassified sequences. RNAcentral's name for it is "DUF3800-V RNA". It matches the Rfam family "DUF3800-V RNA". The record is from Rfam by way of RNAcentral.
AAGCGAAUCCGAUAAUACACCGAUGGCCUGCCAGAUGUUCCUGCCCUAAGAGGGCAACCAAAGUCUGGACCAACAGGCCAUCGGCACGGUUCGCCC